Long non-coding RNA from Malus domestica (apple), 804 nucleotides. RefSeq lists it as uncharacterized. The record is from RefSeq and is a predicted model, not a curated record. NCBI's taxonomy places the organism in Eukaryota, Viridiplantae, Streptophyta, Magnoliopsida, Rosales, Rosaceae.
UAUUCUCACAGCACAGCCGCUUAUUCUCACAGCAGCUUUUUUUCAAAGCACAGCAAUACCAAACCAGCCCUUACUCUCUCUUCGGAGGCUGCUGCUGUUACACUUGCUGUAUGAGAAGAAAGUUGCGGGAAUUUUUUAACAUAGAGGGAAGUUGCUGUGACGACCUUCUUACUCACCUCAUGUGCUGCUGUUGUGCACUGGUUCAAGAGCGACGAGAACUCGAACUCAGAAACUUUGAAGGUUGCAACGGAAGAAAGAUGGUUCCUCCACCAUUCCAAUGGAUGAAGCCUUAAGUGCCUUGUAUGAAAUGGACUUGCCACAAACGAGGAAUGCGGGUUAGGUCAAUUAGCUAAAAGGCAAUGCGCUCUAAAUCGCCUUCUUCAUAUACUAAAAAAGUUGAGGGUAGAAUCUUGUCUUGUAAAAUGAAAAAUCAAUAUCAAUAUUAAGUGUAUUGUAUUCAUUUUUUGGGCCUUAACACCUUCGAGAAAUUCUUAUAUCUGACUGCUCGUAUAUCCAAGAGUCUCACCGUCGUCCACUUCUGGCGAGCAUGCUGUCGAGUACAAGCAGUUGGACAUAGGGUUUUCUCGAAAACCUUGCAUUGCAUCUCCUUUAGUUUGAAAAUAUCAUGUCAAAUAAGCCAUUUUCUCUGGCUCAAGGGUGAGAGAGAUGCGAAUCCUAAGUUUUGUGUGAAGUGGAUUAGCAGGAUGAGCUAAUGAAAGCCGUAUGAUUUAAAAUGAUUAGUCCGAAUCACUGGAUCCGCUAGAGAAAAUAUGGCUCAAAUCGUUGCUCCCCUUUCAUUUUUUU